GGUGCCAGCAGCCGCGGUAAUUCCAGCUCCAAUAGCGUAUAUUAAAGUUGUUGCGGUUAAAAAGCUCGUAGUUGGUUCUGCGUCCCGCGCUGUCGGUACACCGUUUGUCGGUGACACUGGCAUGACGCGGGAUGUCCUGUCGGUGGCGGCGGAGACCAUAUCGUCGUCGGAUAACACCGCGGCGUGUUGGCCUUCUGUCGCCGGCUAUAUCCUACCGCGGUGCUCUUCACUGAGUGUCGAGGUAGGCCGACACGUUUACUUUGAACAAAUUAGAGUGCUUAAAGCAGGCAAAAAUCUCUGCCAGAAUAGUGGUGCAUGGAAUAAUGGAACAGGACCUUGGUUCUAUUCUGUUGGUCUCCGGAACACAAGGUAAUGAUCAAUGUGGACAGGCGGGGGCAUUCGUAUUGCGGCGUUAGAGGUGAAAUUCUUGGAUCGUCGCAAGACGCACUAGAGCGAAAGCAAUUGCCAAGUAUGUCUUAAUUGAUCAAGAACGAAAGUUAGAGGUUCGAAGGCGAUCAGAUACCGCCCUAGUUCUAACCAUAAACGAUGCCAGCCAGCGAUCCGCCGAUGUUCCUUUGAUGACUCGGCGGGGAGCUUUCCCCGGGAAACCAAAGCUUUUGGGUUCCGGGGGAAGUAUGGUUGCAAAGCUGAAACUUAAAGGAAUUGACGGAAGGGCACCACCAGAAGUGGAGCCUGCGGCUUAAUUUGACUCAACACGGGAAACCUCACCAGGUCAGGACAUUGGAAUGAUUGACAGAUUGAU
This 763-nucleotide ribosomal RNA is filed under the name Cimex hemipterus. Its description in RNAcentral is "SSU rRNA". It matches the Rfam family "Eukaryotic small subunit ribosomal RNA", at positions 563 to 1252 of the family's 1831-position model. The record is from RNAcentral. Lineage: Eukaryota; Metazoa; Arthropoda; Insecta; Hemiptera; Cimicidae.